Molecule: long non-coding RNA, 11951 nt
Filed under: Prunus persica (peach)
Lineage: Eukaryota; Viridiplantae; Streptophyta; Magnoliopsida; Rosales; Rosaceae
Description: long non-coding RNA (PPER_LNC002638)
Source: RNAcentral
ACUUGUGCGGCUAUCCGUAAGUGUCAACAACGUUUCCUCUCACCGCACCUCCAAUGCGACUCGAUACACAGCCUCUCGCCGUCGCCACUCCAAUUCGAAGAAGCAACUCCUCGUCGCCACUCACCGUCAUCGCUCCGAUCAUCCUCUCGUGGCCGGCGCCUCUGUCUCAAUUUCAGGUAAGUGCAAAAUAACAAAGUUUUGAAGACCAGAACACCCAAAGAGCUGUUGAGAUUUGGAUUGUCAAGGGAGCUACAGAUCCAAAGACUACGGGAGAGAAAGAGUGAUUGAGCAAGAAGGAAUCAAAAAUGGUUAUGACCACUACUCCUCUGCUAAUCCGUUGCAGCAGAGCAGACUAUAUUCAUAUCCCAAAAUGUAUCCUUACAUCAGCAAAUACAAUCUAACCGUUGUGAAGGCUAAACCAAUGUGAAUAUGACACAUGGCUUUACAAAGCUUUACAGCCACUGAAAUAAGAAAAACAAUCCUAAGCCUUACACUUGGCAUAUGAGCUCAAGGUGCUCAGCUCACAGAUGACUUAAAUGGACUAAAUAUAAACUGACUAAGUACUUACUAACUAAUCAGAAAUUAGCUAGGCAGUUUACAUUUUAACACUCCCUUCUAAAGUGCUAGCUGAUUUGACUCCAAGCAUAUUCCUCAAGUAGCAGAACCUAUCUUUGGGAAGUGCCUUGGUGAAGAUGUCAGCAAUUUGCUCUUCUCCCUUGCAGUAGAGCAGUUCAAUCACUCCUUCUUGGAUUGCUUCUCUAAUAAAAUGGAACUUCCUCUUAAUGUGCUUGCUCCUUUGAUGAAACACAGGAUUUUUAGCCAUUGCUAUUGCUGAAGUGUUGUCACAGAACACAGUGGUUGCAGCAGUCUGUUCUUCUCCAAAGUCUUCAAGAACAAACCUGAGCCAAAUGGCUUGUGAUGUAGCUUCUGCAGCACUUACAUACUCUGCUUCUGCUGUUGAAAGGGCCACACUGUGUUGUUUGACUGAUGCCCACGAAAAUGCACCACUUCCAAAUGAAAAUGCAUAUCUGGAAGUGCUCUUCAUAUCUUCCUCUGAUCCACUCCAGUCACUAUCACAAUAUCCUACUAGAAGUGCAGACUUUCCAGUCACAUACUCAAUUCCAUAAUCAAUUGAGCCUUGUAUGUACCUUAGAACUCUUUUGGCUGCCCCAUAGUGCAUCUUAGAAGGAGUGUGCAUGAAUCUUGCAAGUAGACUAGCUGAAAACAUGAUAUCAGGUCUGGUUGCAGUUAGAUAUAGCAAGCUUCCUACAAUUUUUCUGUACAAGCUUUCAUCAGCUGCUUCACUUCCAUCUUCUCUUUGCAAUUUAUCAGUGGCAACUAAUGGAGUGCUCACUGAUUUGCAAUCCUUGAGUCCAAACUUAUCUAGGAGAGUGAGUGCAUACUUCUUUUGAUGGAUGAAAAUGCUCCCUUCAGUUUGUGUUACUCCCAUACCAAGAAAAUGAUGGAGUAAACCCAAGUCAGACAUUUCAUACUUGCACAUCAUCUCAGCCUUGAAUUCUUUCACCAUUUCAUCACUGCUUCCAGUAUAUACUAUGUCAUCUACAUAGAUUGAUAUAAUUAAUGUUCCCACACCUUCCUUGGUUCUCACAUAGAGAGUUGCUUCACUUGGACUUCUGUGAAAACCACACUGAUAUAAGUAAGUGUCGAUUUCACUGUACCAGGCCCUUGGAGCCUGCUUUAGUCCAUAGAGAGCUUUUCUUAGUCUGUACACCUUAUCCUCAGCUCCUUUAAUCACAAAGCCUUCAGGUUGAUCCACAUAGACUUCCUCUUCAAUAACACCAUUUAAGAAAGCUGAUUUGACAUCCAAUUGCCAUAAUUUCCAGCCUUUCUGUGCAGCUAGUGCAAUGAGAGUUCUAAUAGUGUCUAACCUUGCUACUGGAGCAAAGGUUUCAUUGAAAUCAAUCCCUGGUUUUUGUGUGUAACCCUUGGCUACAAGUCUUGCCUUGUGUUUUUGAAUGGAGCCAUCAAGAUUUAGUUUUGUUUUGUAUAUCCACUUCACUCCCACAAUUGGUUUGCUGCCUGGUCUAUCAACCAAUUUCCAAGUGGAAUUCUUCUCUAUCAUUGAUAUCUCUUCAAUCAUAGCUUUGUUCCAAGCUUCAUCUUUGGCUGCUUCAUGGUAACUCUCUGGUUCAAUAAUGCUCAGAUUACAUUGAGCAUAGACCUCACUUAAGUUCUUCCAUUUUUGUGGAGUAUGAUCAAAAGUUUCAGAGAUUGAAACUGAUGAAUCAUGUGUAGCAGAUUCCAGAGUGGUUUGCAGAUCAUUCACCUCUUGUGGUCUCUGAGGAGAUUGACCCGACUGAAGUGAUUCAUUUGAAUAUGAAUCAAUAUCUGAUAUUCUUGAACUUUCUUCUUCAUGCCAUGGAAUAGUCACUUGUACUUCUUCAUUCAAUUCCCAAUUCCACAUUGCUUUCUCAUCAAAGAUAAUGCUCCUUGAGAGUUCAAUCUUUUUAGUUUCUAGAUUAAAAACUCUAUACCCUUUCUCACAAAUCCCAUAUCUGAGAAAUACUCCCUUCAUUCCAGUUUCUUCUAGCUUGUGUCUUUUCUGAGUAGGAAUAUGAAUAUAGCACAGUGAACCAAAUAUUCUCAAGUGCUUGACACCUGGUUUUCUCCCACUGAACUUCUCGAAUGGAGUUGUAUUAUCCAGAGCACUUGUUGGACUUCUAUUUUGCAGGUAUACUGCUGUAUUGAUAGCUUCUGCCCAAAAUUUCAAAGGGAUUUUCUUCUCAUGCAUCAUUGUUCUUGCCAUUUCCAUCAGAGUACGAUUCUUUCUCUCUGCAACUCCAUUCUGUUGCGGAGAGUAGGCUAUAGUUAGUUGCCUUUCUAAUCCCAUCUCUUCACAAAACUUUGAAAAUUCCAAAGAUGUAUAUUCUCCACCUCUAUCACUUCUUAGCUUCUUAAUUUGAUAACCACUUUGCAACUCAACCAUGCUUUUGAACCUUUUGAAUAUGUUGAAUGCUUGAGACUUAUGCUGCAAGAAAAACACCCAACACAUUCUAGUGUGAUCAUCAAUGAAGGUGAGAAAGUAUCUAUUCCCUCCAAGAGUGAUAGACUGCAUUGGACCACAGAUAUCAGAGUGAAUCAGUUCUAGUGGUUGAGAGGCUCUCCAAGCUAUUUCCUUAUCAAAUGAACUUCUGUGACUCUUGCCUAUAGCACAACCCGAGCAAGUCUUCUUAGAUUCUUGUAACUUAGGUAGACCCUGAACCAUGUCUUUCUCUUGUAAGAGUCUCAAACUACCGUAGUUUAGAUGCCCGAAUCUUCUGUGCCACAAGCAAGAUGGUUCUCCAAAUGUUGCUCUAUUUGCCACAGGAGGAUUGACAUAUUUGAGAUCUAAGGGAAAACAUCUGUUCCCUUUCAUUUGAACCCUUGCAAUCAGCUCUUGCAGUUGCUUAUCUUCAUAAAUGUCAACCUCAUUAUCACCAAACACCAACCAAUGCCCAUGCUCUAUCAUCUGUCCUACACUCAACAGAUUCUCAUCCAGACCAGGUACAAUCAUGACUUCCCUAAUGAAUCUAGUAACCCCUUGCACAUCUAUAGCCAAAGUACCUUUGCCUAUUGAUUGCACUAAAUCACCAGUGCCCAUCUUAACUUUACAGUUCACAUUUCUAUCUAUAUCAAUAAGUAAGGACUCAUGAGCAGUCAUAUGAUUACUACAAGCACUGUCCACAUACCACACAUUCAUAUUUUUUUCAAUAGAAGCUGAAUGACAAGCAUAGAACAUAGUAGCAGGUUCUGUUACCUUGCUAGCCAAGUUUGCAAGUUUCUCAGUCUUAUUUGAUUGUUCACAGUCUUUAAUGAGAUGCCCAAAACGGUUGCACCCAUAGCACUUUGGCUUUCCUUUAAACUAGCAUUCUCCAUAGUGAAGCUUAUCACAGUGCUUGCAUUUCCCUUUUGCUUGAUCUGAUUUUUCCCCUGGUUCAUGCUUUCCUCCUUGGUUGCCACUAUUUUGAGGUUUUGAAUCCCAUUUCUUACCCUUCGAUUUCCAGCUCUUUUUUGAUUUAUUAUUACCAAAACCAGAGUUGGAUUGAGAUCCCUUUUGAUUUAUGCUCAUGCUGCUGAAGGCCUUCUCAGUGGUGUUCUCAGCAUGCCUAUCAAGGCGCUGAGCAAAACCCCUCAAUGCAGCAAUCACCUCUUGCACCUCAAUCAUUUCAAUAUCCUUAGUUUGUUCAAUUACAUAACAGACAGGAUCAAACUCCUUAGUCAGACUUAUAAGCAGUUUUUGAACUAACCUUCCUUUGGAUAGGUCUUCCCCAUAUCCCUUCAUCUGAUUCACAAGCUCAAGUAGGCGAGUGAGGUAUCCAGACAAGGUCUCAUCAUCCCUCAUCCUUGUAUACUCAAAAUCACGACGCAAACCCUGCAAUUUGAUAGAUCUGACCUGCUUAUCACCAUGAAAUUCCUGAUGUAAAAUAUCCCAUGCACCCUUUGAGGUUUCUUCAUUCGAAAUCCUUGGAAAAAUGUCUUCUGAGACAGCCCCUUGGAUAAUCCCAAGUGCCUUAGCAUCCUUCAUUAACAGAGCUUCCUUCUCAGAAUCCGAUGACCCAGCAUCAUCCACAUUCUUCCCCUUUGAAUCUGGAAUUUUAAGCCCAUUUUCAACUAAAUCCCAGAUUCCAUGAGAUUUGAAAAUCGUUCUCAUUCGAAUCUUCCAAAAUUCAUAGUUGUCCCCAUUGAAUAUUGGAGCUCUGAGAUCACUCCCUCCUGACCCAGCCAUCUGAGACAGAAUCAAUGAACUGAGUCGGAAAUUUCUCGUCGGAUUUCCAAGCUCAGCCCACACACAGCUUCAACGCCCACUACACAGAUCCAACCUUCGCUGCUGAUACCAUGUUGAGAUUUGGAUUGUCAAGGGAGCUACAGAGCCAAAGACUACGGGAGAGAAAGAGUGACUGAGCAAGAAGGAAUCAAAAAUGGUUAUGACCACUACUCCUCUGCUAAUCCGUUGCAGCAUAGCAGACUAUAUUCAUAUCCCAAAAUGUAUCCUUACAUCAGCAAAUACAAUCUAACCGUUGUGAAGGCUAAACCAAUGUGAAUAUGACACAUGGCUUUACAAAGCUUUACAGCCGCUGAAAUAAGAAAAACAAUCCUAAGCCUUACACUUGGCAUAUGAGCUCAAGGUGCUCAGCUCACAGAUGACUUAAAUGGACUAAAUAUAAACUGACUAAGUACUUACUAACUAAUCAGAAAUUAGCUAGGCAGUUUACAUUUUAACAAGAGCAUUAUUUCGUAUUUUUGUUGUUGGCUUUUAUGUUUACAGCCUCAUUUGCCAUUUUAAACCCACACAUUUUGUGUGUGCAUACUUAUAAGGAGCAGACUAUAUAUGCAGAUUGGGUUUCAAUUUGAUUUCCCUAGAGAUGCUGAAAGCAAACAGCCUUCAAAGGUUGUUUCUUUCCCCCUUUUUUAGUGUGAUAGAAGUUCCGUGGAGUUCAUAAUUGCAUAAAAGGAGUCAAAGUAGUGGCUGCGGCGGGUGGAGGCACUUCUUCGAAGGGCCCCGUCCGCCGGCCUGCCGGUCCGAUCUGGAGAAUUCAUGUUCCGGCAGGUGGGCUAGACAGAAUGGUUUCCACAAUAUAUGCAAAAUUAUUUCAAAUACCAAGAGGAAGCAAAAGUGGUUUCCCAUCCAUAAGAAAAAAUUUCAUUGGUUACUGUCAUUUUACAACAAAAAAAUCCAAAAUGGGCUGUUUCUUUUCAACCUCUAGAGAAUUAACUAUCUUCUAUCUAAUUGACCCCCCACAAAUUGAGGAUACAGUGCAAACACCAGCAGAUGUUGUGAGGGGAAUAUCUCUGUAGCAGGCCACUAGGUCAGUGUUAGUAUGCAGAUCCACUUGCAAGCUCUCCCACACUUUCUUCUUGGGGUUCAACACCUCAUCAGGCUCACCUGCGAACCCCGAAAAUGUAACUCUCUCGCCAACCUGAGCUGCUUUAGGCGGGUUGACCAAUUCAACCGUGGCGUGGUCACUGUUCGAAGCAACAAGAACCAUCGCUUGUGAUUUAAUGUUAGAAUUUGGCAUAGAUAUAUUGUUUCUGGUUUUUACAGUUUUCUAAGUAAAAACCUUUUCUCUAGCAACGUAUGCUAUAUUGAAUAGAAUCCAAAAAGAGAGAGAGUAAAUGAGAAUGUUAUCAGCCUGCUGCUAUAUUGCAGCAGAGCCAGCAACAGACACACAAGGCAUGACACAAGCUGCCAAAAAACAUAUCCUAAAAACUAGGACACAAUGACUCAUCUCCAGCCAAUCACAGGUCAUUGGAGGCUCAAAUUCUUACCCUAGAUAAGAAUUUGUUACAACAGAAAAUCUAGGACAGCUAAGGAAGGACAGCUGUAGACUUUCCUAAAAUAGUAAGAAAACUAGCCGUUAACAUAAUCUGUAACGGCUAUUACUAAAAAAGUAAAGUUCCUCAGCUCCUUCGAUUCUUCAUCCUAUUCACUGUCAAUCUGCAGGAUUAACUUCUGCAGCUUGAUUCCAUACUAGUAAGCAGCUUAACUCUCAACAGCCUCUCCUAAGCUACUUACUGGUUUAACUCCAAGCUUCAACCUCAAAAAAUUGAAUCGAUCUUUGGGCAAAGCUUUUGUAAAAAUAUCUGCCAACUGUUCUUCACUUCUGCAAAAAUUCAUCUUGAUCACUCCUUCCUGCAAAGCUUCUCUUAUGAAAUGAUACCUUCGAUUUAUAUGCCUUGUUUUCUGAUGGAAAACACGAUUUUUGAUCAUUGAGAUUGCUGACAUGUUGUCACAAAACAGUGGUGUUGCAUCAGAUUGCAUUUCACCAAAAUCAUCCAACACAAACCUCAACCAAAUGGCUUGAGCUGUUGCCUCAGCUGCUGAGACAUAUUCAGCUUCUGCAGUUGACAGUGCAACUGUGUUUUGCUUGACAGAAGCCCAAGAAAAAACUCCACUGCCAAAACUGAAUGCAUAUCCAGAUGUGCUUCUACUGUCAUCUUCACUGCCAGCCCAAUCAGAAUCACAAAAACCAAUCAGGACAGCAUUCUUGUCCCUUGUAAACUCAAUGCCAUAGCUGAUAGUGCCUUGAAUGUAUCUAAGAACCCUUUUUGUAAUUCCCAUAUGCUUCUUUGUGGGACUAUGCAUGAAUCUUGAUAACAAACUGGCUGCAAACAUUAUGUCAGGUCUAGUUGCAGUUAGAUACAGCAGACUGCCAACUAUUUUUCUAAACAAACCUUCAUCAGCCAGGUCACUUCCAUCAACUUUCUUUAGUUUCUCACCAGUGGGUAGAGGAAUUGUUACUGGCUUACAAUCCUCAAGACCAAACUUCACAAGCAAGGACUUUGCAUACUUGCUUUGAUGAAUAAACACCCCUUUUUCAGUUUGUAGAACUCCCAUCCCCAAGAAAUGAUGUAGGAGUCCUAAGUCAGUCAUUUCAUACUUCUGCAUCAUGUCCCUUUUAAACUCACUGAGCAGUGCAUUACUGCUUCCAGUAUAGACAAUAUCAUCAACAUAUAUAGAGACAAUAAUCAGUUUACCUUCUUCAUCUGUUCUGGUAUAUAAAGUGGCCUCACUAGUGCUUCUUUUAAAGUUGCAGCUUGUAAGAUAGGUGUCUAUUUCACUGUACCAGGCUCUGGGAGCCUGCUUCAAACCAUAGAGAGCCUUCUUCAGUUUAUAGACUUUUUGACUUGCCUUUUUCACUUCAAACCCUUCUGGUUGCUCAAUAUAAACCUCCUCCUCAAGUACUCCAUUUAAGAAGGCUGACUUAACAUCUAAUUGGAACAACUUCCAACCCUUUUGAGCUGCAAGUGCAAUCAGUGUUCUAAUUGUAUCUAACCUUGCCACUGGAGCAAAGGUCUCAUUAUAGUCAAUUCCAGGUUUCUGAGCAUACCUUUUAGCUACAAGCCUAGCCUUGUGUUUUUGUACUGUUCCAUCCAGAUUUAGCUUGGUUUUGAACACCCAUUUGACUCCUAUGACUGGUUUAUCCGAGGGUCUUUCCACCAGCUCCCAAGUUUCAUUCUUUUCAAUGGUUUCAAUCUCAGCCUCCAUUGCUUCCUUCCAUGCUUUGUCUUCAAUAGCUUCAUAAAACGUUUCAGGUUCAAUAAUAGUCAUGUGACAUCUUGCAUAGAUGUCCUCCAAACUUCUUAACUUUACUGGUGUAUUAGUUGGAGUUGGGCCUUGACUGGUGUCACUGCCAUUGUUUUCAGAAACAUGUUCAUCAUCUGAGCUUAAAUGAUUCAGGUUUGGUGAAUCAAUGCUGUGAAUUUCAUGUGAGAUUUCUGCUUCAUUUGUCUCUGAAUUUCCAUUUUCAAAGAUGAGAGGCAUUGGGACAGAUUCAUCUUGCUUGCUUUCCCAAUUCCAGAAUUUAUUCUCAUCAAAAACAACACUUCUUGAGAGUAUAAUCUUCUCAGUUUGAAGAUUAAAAAUCCUGUAACCCUUCUCACAGCUGCCAUAACCCAUAAAGACACCUUUGCUUGCUUUGUCAUCAAACUUCUGUCUAAGGUUUGAUGGAAUGUGACUGAAGCAGAUGCUGCCAAACACUCUCAGAUGUUUUACACCUGGUCUUCUUCCUGUGAAAGCUUCAAAUGGUGUUUUAUCUGAAAUAGUAGUGGUAUAGCAUCUGUUUUGCAGAUACACUGCAGUACCAACUGCUUCAGCCCAGAAUUUUAAAGGAACUUUCUUCUCAGUCAUCAUUGAUCUUGCCAUUUCACAGAUGGUUCUGUUUCUUCUCUCAGCAACCCCAUUUUGCUGAGGUGAGUAGGCAAUAGUUAGUUGCCUCUCCAUGCCAAGGUCACUGCAAAACUCCAGGAAUUCAUGUGAAGUGUAUUCUCCACCUCUGUCACUUCUUAACUUCUUUAAGCUGAAUCCACUCUGUAGCUCAACAAAAGCUUUGAACUUUUUGAACACACUUAUCACACUUGACUUAUUUCUGAGAAAAUAUACCCAACACAUUCUUGAGAAGUCAUCAAUGAAUGUGAUGAAGUAUUUGUUUCCUCCAAUGGACUCAUUUUGCAUUGGGCCACAUACAUCUGUGUGUAUCAAUUCAAGGGGAGUGGUAGCUCUCCAAGGCUUCUCAUUUUCAAAUGGUUCCCUGUGGCUUUUACCAUACACACACCCUUCACAUACUCCUUCCUUUUCUGAGAAAUUAGGCAGGCCUAACACCAUUUGAGUUUGCUGCAUUUUUUUCAUGCUUGCAAAGUUCAAAUGACCCAACCUUCUGUGCCAAAUCCAUGGAUCUUCUUGUACUGCUGCCCUCAUUCCCAUUGAGCAGAUAGACUCCAUAGAUAGUGGGAAACAUCUAUUUCCUGCCAUUGCAACUUUGGCAACAACAUUAUCAAGGCUGCUGUCAUCACAUAUCAAUGCAUAGUUGUCUCCAAAUAGGAUGUAGUAACCAUGCUCCAUCAUUUGUCCUAUACUCAACAAAUUCUCAUCCAGGCCAGGAACAAGCAGCACUUCAUGUAUGUAUCUUCUCCCUUUUCUUGUUUCAACUACAAGUGUUCCCUUUCCUGUGGCUUGAACAAGAUCACCAGUGCCCAUUUUCACUUUGCAGGUCACUGAUCUAUCAAGAUUGAUCAAUAAAGCCUCUUGAGAGGUCAUGUGGUUGCUGCAGGCACUAUCAACAAACCACACAGAUUUGCUUGAUGCAAUUGAACUUGCAUGACAAGCAUAGAACAUUGUUCCUGUGAUUGCCUCUUCCUCCUUUGCACAGUUUGCAACUUGCUUACCACUUUCACAGUCCUUGGUUAGAUGACCAAAUCGACUGCACUUUCCACACUUAGGUUUUCCUUUAUAUCUGCACACACCAAAAUGAUAUUUUUGGCACACUUGGCACUGUGGUUUCACCCCACCUUGACUGCUACUGCCAGGUUUGUUUUGAGAAUCAAAAACGUUGUUCCAAUUCCCUCCAGAGCCAUUAUUGCUAUUAAAGUUUCCACCUUGAGACCAGUUUGAGCCCUUUUUGUUCUGUCCAUGCCAUUUUUGAUUUGACUUUCCCUGAGAACUCUUGUUAGCUCCAGAAGCUUGAUUAUUUCCAAUUCUGAGACUGCUGAAAGCCUUCUCAGUUCCUGCCAUUUUAUCUCUUUCAUCAUGCAAAUCUUCUCUCUUAUCAUAGACUUUGACAGAAGCAAGAAUUUCUUCAACUCUAAUAGUGUCAAGGUCUCUGGUUUCUUCAAUAAUAGACACUAUGGACUUGUACUUCCUACUUAGACUCAUCAACAGUUUUUGAACAAUCCUUUUCUCUGUUACAUCUUCUCCUAGAGAUUUCAAGUUGUUUACUAUUUCAAAAAACCGAGCCAAGUAGUCAUCCAGAGAUUCAACAUCAUUCAUUCUUAAAUACUCAAAAUCAGCUCUAAUAGCUUGUAAUUUCACAGCUCUUACCUUUUUAUCUCCCCUGAACUCUCUUCUCAGGAUUUCCCAAGCACCUUUUGCAGUCUUCUCAUUUCUGAUGCGAGGAAAAAGUUCAUCUGUAAGUGCUCCUUGAAUAAGACUCAAAGCCUUGGCAUUUUUGAUCUUAUCUUCUCUGGAGAUAGUAGGUGCUUCCUCUGGUAUUUGCUCAGUCUCACCUUCUUCACUUCCAGAAACUACUUCCUCUUCAAUAACCGGCUGUGCUUGUAUUCCAAACUCCACUGCAUCCCAUAAAUCAUAGGCUAUGAGAAUGGUCUCCAUUUUUACUGACCAAAAAUCAUAGUUUGCCCCAUUGAACUGUGGAGUUCGUAGAUCUCCCCCUGCAGAUCCUGAUCCCACCAUUUUUAUGUGAGUUUCAGUGAACCAACCAGUAAAGGAUUACUCACAGCUCACGCCCCUUCUCUGAAAAUCAGACUAGAGCUCUGAUACCAUGUUAGAAUUUGGCAUAGAUAUAUUGUUUCUGGUUUUUACAGUUUUCUAAGUAAAAACCUUUUCUCUAGCAACGUAUGCUAUAUUGAAUAGAAUCCAAAAAGAGAGAGAGUAAAUGAGAAUGUUAUCAGCCUGCUGCUAUAUUGCAGCAGAGCCAGCAACAGACACACAAGGCAUGACACAAGCUGCCAAAAAACAUAUCCUAAAAACUAGGACACAAUGACUCAUCUCCAGCCAAUCACAGGUCAUUGGAGGCUCAAAUUCUUACCCUAGAUAAGAAUUUGUUACAACAGAAAAUCUAGGACAGCUAAGGAAGGACAGCUGUAGACUUUCCUAAAAUAGUAAGAAAACUAGCCGUUAACAUAAUCUGUAACGGCUAUUACUAAAAAAGUAAAGUUCCUCAGCUCCUUCGAUUCUUCAUCCUAUUCACUGUCAAUCUGCAGGAUUAACUUCUGCAGCUUGAUUCCAUACUAGUAAGCAGCUUAACUCUCAACAUUUAAUACCCCUCAUGGUUGCUGGCUUCAGAUUGCAAAGAACACAGACCUUCCGGUUCUGCCACAGAAAAGUUAAUAUAAAUAAACUAAUGGACAAGUAGGUGUUAAUUCGAAUUUUAUUGUUGAAAAUUCUGUAGAUGCAAACACAAACCUGCAUAUCUUCAAUGGGUAUAUACUUGACAAGUCCACUCACAACUGUUCUAGCCUGUCCUUCGCCAACAUCAAUCUCUUGUAUGUAAAGUGAAUCAGCAUCAGGAUGCUUCUGAGCUUUCGUAAUGAGGCCAACACGAAUAUCAAGUCUAGAAAUGGAAAUCUCUGCUUCAGCUGCAGAUUUUGUGGCCUGUUGCUUUUUCUUUCCACUGUUGUCUGUUACAAAAAUGGAUUAUUGGGGUGGAUAUAUAUUUAUGUUAGCAAUAACUAAUAAAUGGUAUAUGAUUGUUUUCAAAUAUAAGUGCCCACAAAACAUGAGUUUAGCUUGUGGACCAGACCAACAUGCGGAAAUUCUAACCUGAAACUUUCAUUUUCUUGAGUUGUGCAGCCACCUUCACUGCUUCAGCUUCUUCCCGCUCCUUCCUGUCCGCUUGACUUCCAGCAAACUUCUUCCUUAAGGACUCCACUUCUUCAUCUUUCUGUGUCCAAGUACAAACUUUCACUAAAUUAGAAUCUACAAAUAGGCAAGUGAUGCA